RNAcentral lists this ribosomal RNA (644 nucleotides) under uncultured Escherichia sp. RNAcentral's name for it is "bacterial SSU rRNA". It matches the Rfam family "Bacterial small subunit ribosomal RNA", at positions 79 to 716 of the family's 1533-position model. Lineage: Bacteria; Pseudomonadati; Pseudomonadota; Gammaproteobacteria; Enterobacterales; Enterobacteriaceae. The record is from RNAcentral.
CUUGCUGCUUCGCUGACGAGUGGCGGACGGGUGAGUAAUGUCUGGGAAACUGCCUGAUGGAGGGGGAUAACUACUGGAAACGGUAGCUAAUACCGCAUAACGUCGCAAGACCAAAGAGGGGGACCUUCGGGCCUCUUGCCAUCGGAUGUGCCCAGAUGGGAUUAGCUUGUUGGUGGGGUAACGGCUCACCAAGGCGACGAUCCCUAGCUGGUCUGAGAGGAUGACCAGCCACACUGGAACUGAGACACGGUCCAGACUCCUACGGGAGGCAGCAGUGGGGAAUAUUGCACAAUGGGCGCAAGCCUGAUGCAGCCAUGCCGCGUGUAUGAAGAAGGCCUUCGGGUUGUAAAGUACUUUCAGCGGGGAGGAAGGGAGUAAAGUUAAUACCUUUGCUCAUUGACGUUACCCGCAGAAGAAGCACCGGCUAACUCCGUGCCAGCAGCCGCGGUAAUACGGAGGGUGCAAGCGUUAAUCGGAAUUACUGGGCGUAAAGCGCACGCAGGCGGUUUGUUAAGUCAGAUGUGAAAUCCCCGGGCUCAACCUGGGAACUGCAUCUGAUACUGGCAAGCUUGAGUCUCGUAGAGGGGGGUAGAACUCCAGGUGUAGCGGUGAAAUGCGUAGAGAUCUGGAGGAAUACCGGUGGC